RNAcentral lists this ribosomal RNA (377 nucleotides) under uncultured bacterium. RNAcentral's name for it is "bacterial SSU rRNA". It matches the Rfam family "Bacterial small subunit ribosomal RNA", at positions 30 to 403 of the family's 1533-position model. The record is from RNAcentral.
AUUGAACGCUGGCGGCAUGCCUUACACAUGCAAGUCGAACGGCAGCGGGCCUUCGGGUGCCGGCGAGUGGCGAACGGGUGAGUAAUGCAUCGGAACGUGCCAUUGAGUGGGGGAUAACGUAGCGAAAGUUACGCUAAUACCGCAUAUUCUGUGAGCAGGAAAGCAGGGGACCGCAAGGCCUUGCGCUCUUUGAGCGGCCGAUGUCAGAUUAGCUAGUUGGUGAGGUAAAAGGCUUACCAAAGGCGACGAUCUGUAGCGGGUCUGAGAGGAUGAUCCGCCACACUGGAACUGAGACACGGUCCAGACUCCUACGGGAGGCAGCAGUGGGGGAAUUUUUGGGACAAAUGGGCGCAAGCCUGAUCCAGCCAUGCCGCGUG